Molecule: ribosomal RNA, 555 nt
Filed under: uncultured bacterium
Lineage: Bacteria
Description: partial 16S ribosomal RNA
Rfam family: Bacterial small subunit ribosomal RNA
Source: RNAcentral
UGGGGAAUUUUGGACAAUGGGGGCAACCCUGAUCCAGCAAUGCCGCGUGUGUGAAGAAGGCCUUCGGGUUGUAAAGCACUUUUGUCCGGAAAGAAAACGCCGUGGUUAAUACCCGUGGCGGAUGACGGUACCGGAAGAAUAAGCACCGGCUAACUACGUGCCAGCAGCCGCGGUAAUACGUAGGGUGCAAGCGUUAAUCGGAAUUACUGGGCGUAAAGCGUGCGCAGGCGGUCCGCUAAGACAGAUGUGAAAUCCCCGGGCUUAACCUGGGAACUGCAUUUGUGACUGGCGGGCUAGAGUAUGGCAGAGGGGGGUAGAAUUCCACGUGUAGCAGUGAAAUGCGUAGAGAUGUGGAGGAAUACCGAUGGCGAAGGCAGCCCCCUGGGCCAAUACUGACGCUCAUGCACGAAAGCGUGGGGAGCAAACAGGAUUAGAUACCCUGGUAGUCCACGCCCUAAACGAUGUCAACUAGUUGUCGGGUCUUCAUUGACUUGGUAACGUAGCUAACGCGUGAAGUUGACCGCCUGGGGAGUACGGUCGCAAGAUUAAAAACUC